Chelonus insularis is the source of this 604-nucleotide long non-coding RNA. RefSeq lists it as uncharacterized. NCBI's taxonomy places the organism in Eukaryota, Metazoa, Arthropoda, Insecta, Hymenoptera, Braconidae. The transcript is spliced from 4 exons. The record is from RefSeq and is a predicted model, not a curated record.
UGAUGAUGAUAUUGAUAACAAUCUCCCACAAGAUGGAGAAUUGCUGAGCCCGGAAGAACUAGCUGAACUCGAAGAAUUAGCAGCACAAUUAGAGCAAAGAGAAAGAAUAAGAGAUCAAGAACAACAGCAACAGAAUAGAAUAAAUAAUCCACAGCAAUUGAAUUGAGUUAGAAACCAAAAAGAAGGCCAACCAAAUCAUUUAAUUACACGACGUCGUCGUGGACGAGCAUCAAGAGCUGAAGAGCCUCAACAACAACAUAAUAUUAAUCCAUCUAAUGAUAAUAACAACAAUCACAACAUGCAAAAUUGUGUUGCUGUUAAUCGUCGUCGUGGACGGCCAUGCAGAGCUGAAGGAUUUUUAUCACAAAACGAAAUUAAUGCGGCUAAUAGUAAGAAAAAUAAUAACAAGAAUCAACUAUUACAAAAUCCAGUAGUUAUGAGACGCCCUCGCGGACGGCCACGACAAGCUGCAACUCCUGAACUGGUAGAGGAUGACAACGCACCCAAUCCACCAAUAUCCGGCAUACCUUUGUGUAUCAUUUGUACUGAAAAUCAAGCAAAUGUUAUAUAUAUACCAUGUAUCCGUUUUUGUAUAUGUGCUGAU